AUGGCUCAGGAUGAACGCUAGCUACAGGCUUAACACAUGCAAGUCGAGGGGCAGCGGGAGAGUAGCUGCUACUCUUGCCGGCGACCGGCGCACGGGUGCGUAACGCGUAUCCAACCUGCCGUGUACUCUGGGGAUAGCCCUCUGAAAGGAGGAUUAAUACCCGAUGUGGUUGCGGAGAGACAUCUCUCUGCAAUUAAAGAUUUAUCGGUACACUGAUGGGGAUGCGUACGAUUAGCUAGUUGGCGGGGUAACGGCCCACCAAGGCGACGAUCGUUAGGGGUUCUGAGAGGAAGGUCCCCCACAUAGGAACUGAGACACGGUCCUAACUCCUACGGGAGGCAGCAGUGAGGAAUAUUGGUCAAUGGGCGAGAGCCUGAACCAGCCAAGUAGCGUGAAGGAAGACUGCCCUAUGGGUUGUAAACUUCUUUUAUCGGGGAAUAAAGUGCGUCACGUGUGGCGUUUUGUAUGUACCCGAUGAAUAAGCAUCGACUAAUUCCGUGCCAGCCGCUGC
Molecule: ribosomal RNA, 511 nt
Filed under: uncultured bacterium
Lineage: Bacteria
Description: bacterial SSU rRNA
Rfam family: Bacterial small subunit ribosomal RNA
Source: RNAcentral